CUGUCAAGCCAAAGUCCAAGUAACCGACUCUAACUGGUCUAACAACCAACAAGAAACGUGCCCUCGGCACCAUCUGACGCCAAAACGGCGAUACGGGUCCACCGUCAACUCUGACGGCACCCACCAGUCGGGAACAACCUGAACGAUUCUGUAAAAAUCCACUCGGCGAAUCAGCACGAGUGUAAAUGUAAUCUAAACUACCUGGAGUACUCGUCUCGAAGAUACUGCGACAGUACAAUUUAAUAACGGCUCCUAGGGCUAAAUCAGGCAGUUUAAACAAGUGACAGGUCCAAAUCGCAGGUUUUCUUCUAAGUCAAAUUCCAAGUCCAACAUGUAUAACCUACUUAAUUUAUUACCACAUGCUCCAAAUUCAGAUUUGCAAUCUACAAUAUAAUCCAUGAAUUCGAGCUAGAAUAGAGUAUCCAAAGGUCGAAAAUUAUACAUGCCGACGAAUAUGAACUUAGGAGUAAAAACCGAUGUAACCCACCUCGACAGCGACCCAAGCACCGGCGCGACGUCGAGAACGACGAAAAUGCACCCUCGCCCGGCCUCCAACGGCACUACCACGACGCACGCACGCUCCAACGGCUCGCAGGCGCGAAGUUGACGUCGCUCCAAUCUCCAACUAUAGCCUCCACGAGCUCUCCACUUCCAACUAGAGAGAGAGGGAAAUUACAAAUCACCACUAUCCCUCUGUAGGCCACAAGAUAAGGAUGCAUGGGGGGUGCACGUGGCAUCCAAAGCC
This 745-nucleotide long non-coding RNA is filed under the name Ananas comosus (pineapple). RNAcentral describes it as "long non-coding RNA (ACOM_LNC037020)". Lineage: Eukaryota; Viridiplantae; Streptophyta; Magnoliopsida; Poales; Bromeliaceae. The record is from RNAcentral.